This 966-nucleotide ribosomal RNA is filed under the name Gaertneriomyces tenuis. Its description in RNAcentral is "eukaryotic LSU rRNA". It matches the Rfam family "Eukaryotic large subunit ribosomal RNA", at positions 57 to 944 of the family's 3401-position model. Lineage: Eukaryota; Fungi; Chytridiomycota; Chytridiomycetes; Spizellomycetales; Spizellomycetaceae. The record is from RNAcentral.
AGAAGACUACUAGGAUUCCCUCAGUAACGGCGAGUGAAGUGGGAACAGCUCAAAUUUGGAAUCUCACUGGGUUACCAGUGCGAAUUGUAGUUUAGCGAAGCGUUUUCGAGGGUGAAAUGGGUAUAAGUCCUCUGGAACGAGGCGUCAUAGAGGGUGAGAAUCCCGUUUAUGAUCCAUUUUUCACUUUCAUGUGAUACGCUUUCCAAGAGUCAGGUAGUUUGGGAUUGCUGCCUAAAAUGGGUGGUAAAUACCAUCUAAAGCUAAAUAAUGGCGAGAGACCGAUAGCAAACAAGUACCGUGAGGGAAAGAUGAAAAGAACUUUGAAAAGAGAGUUAAACAGUACGUGAAAUUGCCAAAAGGGAAACGCUUGGAACCAGUAUUGCUUACAGGCAAUCAGCCGUACGUCCUGAAAGGGUCGCGUAUGGUGCACUUGUCUGUUGGUAGGUCAACAUCAGUCUGGUUUGUGGUAAAAAGCUCUGGGAAGGUGAUUCGGACUUCGGUUCGAGUGUUAUAGCCCAGAGUCAUGCCAUGAGCUGAACUGAGGUCCGCAGUGUUUAUGGGAAACCCGGUUGCCUUUUGAACUCAAAGGUCAGACAGCAUGCUGACUGGACUUUGAUGUAGGGAGCUCAGCCGGUUACUCACUCCAACGCUUUGGAUGUUGACGAAAUGGUUCCAAACGACCCGUCUUGAAACACGGACCAAGGAGUCUAACAUAUAUGCGAGUAUUUGGGUGGCAAACCCUUAUGCGCAAUGAAAGUGAACUUAGGUGGGAUCUUCGGUGCACCAUCGACCGGUCUGGAUUUUUUUGAUAGAUCUGAGUAAGAGCAUAUCUGUUGGGACCCGAAAGAUGGUGAACUAUGCCUGAAUAGGGUGAAGCCAGAGGAAACUCUGGUGGAGGCUCGUAGCGAUUCUGACGUGCAAAUCGAUCGUCAAAUUUGGGUAUAGGGGCGAAAGACAAUCAACCUC